GUCGUAACAAGGUUUCCGUAGGUGAACCUGCGGAAGGAUCAUUACCACACCAAAAAAACUAUCCACGUGAACCGUCAAAAAAAGAUUCGUACUGUGACGUCGUUUGUUGUAUUAGUAGUAAGCUUUAUUUUCGGAUAGAGUCUGCGAAGGUGCAAUCGAGGGCGUGGGUCAGUUAAUCGAAGGCUGUGAGUCUCUUUGAUUGCUAUGUUCCAAUUCCCUUGUAGUUCAAGGUGUUGUAAUUGUGCGAUUGGAGGUUCGCGGCUGAUCUAUUCUAUUUCAAACCCAUACCUACAUUUACUGAUUAUAUUGUGAGGACGAAAGUCCUUGCUCUUACUAGAUAACAACUUUCAGCAGUGGAUGUCUAGGCUC
This 369-nucleotide unclassified non-coding RNA is filed under the name fungal sp. RNAcentral's name for it is "partial internal transcribed spacer region". The stretch from base 1 to 44 matches the Rfam family "Eukaryotic small subunit ribosomal RNA", at positions 1788 to 1831 of the family's 1831-position model. Lineage: Eukaryota; Fungi. The record is from RNAcentral.